UUAUAUGGUCAAGAAGAGAAGCGCAAACGGUGGAUGCCUUGGCAGUAAGAGGCGAAGAAGGACGUGGAAUCCUGCGAAAAGCUAUGGGGAGCUGGAAACGAGCGAUGAGCCAUAGAUGUCCGAAUGGGGGAACCCGGCUGCAGCGAUGCGGUCAUUUGCAUUUGAAUACAUAGGAUGCAAAGGCGAACUCGGGGAACUGAAACAUCUAAGUACCCGAAGGAAAAGAAAUCAAGAGAGAUUCUCCAAGUAGCGGCGAGCGAACGGGGAGGAGCCUGGCGUGAUUUAUUAUUGAACUGAGUAGAACAAUUUGGGAAAGUUGGCGAUAGAGGGUGAAAGCCCCGUAUACGAAGGUUUGAUGAGGAACUAGGCACGCGAACAAGUAGGCCGGGACACGUGAAAUCCUGGUUGAAGAUGGGUGGACCAUCAUCCAAGGCUAAAUACUACUUACUGACCGAUAGUGAACCAGUACCGUGAGGGAAAGGUGAAAAGAACCCCGGAGAGGGGAGUGAAAUAGAAUCUGAAACCGUUUGCGUACAAGCAGUGGGAGCAUGGUUUAGGCUGUGUGACUGCGUACCUUUUGUAUAAUGGGUCAGCGAGUUACUUUCAGUGGCGAGGUUAACUGAAUAAGGGAGCCGUAGAGAAAUCGAGUCUGAAUAGGGCGAUAGUCGCUGGGAGUAGACCCGAAACCGGGCGAUCUAGCCAUGUGCAGGAUGAAGGUUGGGUAACACCAACUGGAGGUCCGAACCGGGUAAUGUUGAAAAAUUAUCGGAUGACGUGUGGCUAGGAGUGAAAGGCUAAUCAAGCCCGGAGAUAGCUGGUUCUCCCCGAAAGCUAUUUAGGUAGCGCCUCGUGAAUGAUUACUGGGGGUAGAGCACUGUUUCGGCUAGGGGGCUGUCAUGGCUUACCAAACCGAUGCAAACUCCGAAUACCGGCUAAUUGAAUCACGGGAGACACACGGCGGGUGCUAACGUCCGUCGUGGAGAGGGAAACAACCCAGACCGCCAGCUAAGGUCCCCAAGUACUAGUUAAGUGGGAAACGAUGUGGGAAGGCAUAGACAGCCAGGAGGUUGGCUUAGAAGCAGCCACCCUUUAAAGAAAGCGUAAUAGCUCACUGGUCGAGUCGGCCUGCGCGGAAGAUGUAACGGGGCUAAAACUAGUCACCGAAGCUGCGGAUGUGCGCGAAGGCGCACGUGGUAGGGGAGCGUUCUGUAGGCUGAUGAAGGUGCAUUGAGAAGUGUGCUGGAGGUAUCAGAAGUGCGAAUGCUGACAUGAGUAACGAUAAUGUGGGUGAAAAGCCCACACGCCGGAAGUCCCAGGUUUCCUGCACGACGUUAAUCGGAGCAGGGUGAGUCGGCCCCUAAGGCGAGGCUGAAGAGCGUAGUCGAUGGGAACCAGGUUAAUAUUCCUGGACUUUUUAUAAGUGGUGAAGUGGGGACGAAGAAGGCUAGGUGAGCCAGGCGUUGGUUGUCCUGGUACUUGCAUGUAGGGGGGAAGACUUGGCAAAUCCGGUUUUCCAUAACUCUGAGGUGCGAAGUGGUUCUGACCUUUUGGUACAGAGAAGUCAUUGAUGCCCGGCUUCCAGGAAAAGCUGCUAGCCAUAACUUAUAGAGAACCGUACCGCAAACCGACACAGGUGGACAGGUAGAGAAUACUAAGGCGCUUGAGAGAACUCGGGUGAAGGAACUAGGCAAAAUGGUACCGUAACU
This 1706-nucleotide ribosomal RNA is filed under the name Legionella pneumophila subsp. pneumophila. RNAcentral's name for it is "partial 23S ribosomal RNA". It matches the Rfam family "Bacterial large subunit ribosomal RNA", at positions 1 to 1735 of the family's 2925-position model. The record is from RNAcentral. Lineage: Bacteria; Pseudomonadati; Pseudomonadota; Gammaproteobacteria; Legionellales; Legionellaceae.